RNAcentral lists this ribosomal RNA (318 nucleotides) under uncultured bacterium. RNAcentral's name for it is "bacterial SSU rRNA". It matches the Rfam family "Bacterial small subunit ribosomal RNA", at positions 28 to 334 of the family's 1533-position model. The record is from RNAcentral.
GAUGAACGCUGGCGGCGUGCCUAAUACAUGCAAGUCGAGCGAACGGACGAGAAGCUUGCUUCUCUGAUGUUAGCGGCGGACGGUUGAGUAACACGUGGAUAACCUACUAUAGACUGGGGAUAAACUUCGGGGAAACCGGAGCUAAUACCGGAUAAUAUUUUGAACCGCAUGGUUCAAAAGUGAGAGACGGUCUUGCUGUCACUUAUAGAUGGAUCCACGCUGCAUUAGCUAGUUGGUAAGGUAACGGCUUACCAAGGCAACGAUGCAUAGCCGACCUGAGAGGGUGAUCGGCCACACUGGAACUGAGACACGGUCCAG